GUGCUCAUUUCAGCAGCACGUAUACUAAAAUUGGAACAAUCAGAGAGGAUUCGCAUGGCCCCUGCACAAGGAUGACACACAAAUUCAUGAGGUGUUCCAUAUUUUU
Small nuclear RNA from Jaculus jaculus (lesser Egyptian jerboa), 106 nucleotides. Lineage: Eukaryota; Metazoa; Chordata; Mammalia; Rodentia; Dipodidae. The record is from Ensembl.